CAGCUCAGGUGGUGUUUUGUUCGAUAGCAGGCUAUACCACCGGGGCCUGUGCAACCCUCCAAACUGUCAUGUGUGUGUCUCUUUUCGGUCCUGGUCAAAUGAAAUAUGCAUAUCCUGGCGUCAUUCUGGCCGUAGGGGUCGCUAUGCUCACAAGUCCGCCUAUAGCAGGUCUGUGUCGUGACAUCCAGGGUAACUACGUAGGAGCAUUCUUCAUUGCCGCUGCUGCCUGUUUCUCGUCGGUGAUGGCGCACCUCCCUUUGAGCUGCUCCAUCAAGCCAGGCUCGAAACAAGCUCGGACCCCGUUGGGAGAGAAUGACGAAGGAAUCGUCUCAACUGCGUAAUUUUUUUCUUCGCUUUCUCUUUUUACCAUUUCAUGUAGGAGCAGACAUUUACUAAAAGCAAUCUUUCAUAAAUUACACCAACAAGUAUAGAAUAUCUUUACUUCGAUUUUAAAUUGAUCACAAAAAGAUAUUAUCAGAGCCCUAUUUCGUUAACUCAUAUUCUUCGUAUUUGAAUUUAUGAGACACUGUCGCUCUUUCUUUUAUCUAAACAUUUAAAAUGACAUUAAACAGGGUUAUAAAACGAGGUUGAAUUCCGUAUCCACUCUUUU
Lytechinus pictus (painted urchin) is the source of this 610-nucleotide long non-coding RNA. RefSeq lists it as uncharacterized. The transcript is spliced from 2 exons. The record is from RefSeq and is a predicted model, not a curated record. NCBI's taxonomy places the organism in Eukaryota, Metazoa, Echinodermata, Echinoidea, Temnopleuroida, Toxopneustidae.